This 253-nucleotide ribosomal RNA is filed under the name uncultured bacterium. Its description in RNAcentral is "partial 16S ribosomal RNA". It matches the Rfam family "Bacterial small subunit ribosomal RNA", at positions 524 to 776 of the family's 1533-position model. The record is from RNAcentral.
UACGUAGGUGACAAGCGUUGUCCGGAUUUACUGGGCGUAAAGAGCGCGUAGGCGGUCGUUCAAGUCGGGUGUGAAAGCCCCCGGCUCAACUGGGGAGGGUCACUCGAUACUGAUCGACUCGAAGGCAGGAGAGGGAAGUGGAAUUCCCGGUGUAGUGGUGAAAUGCGUAGAUAUCGGGAGGAACACCAGUGGCGAAGGCGACUUCCUGGCCUGUUCUUGACGCUGAGGCGCGAAAGCUAGGGGAGCAAACGGG